GAUGAAUGCUGGCGGCGUGCCUAAUACAUGCAAGUCGAGCGGUAAGGCCCUUCGGGUACACGAGCGGUGGACGGCUGAGUAACGCGUGGGAACAUGCCCCAAAGUGAGGGAUAACGCACCGAAAGGUGUGCUAAUACCGCAUAUGGUCUUCGGAUUAAAGGAUUUAUCCGCUUUGGGAGUGGCCCGCGUACGAUUAGAUUGUUGGUGAGGUAACGGCUCACCAAGUCGACGAUCGUUAACUGGUCUGAGAGGAUGAUCAGUCAGACUGGAACUGAGACACGGUCCAGACUCCUACGGGAGGCAGCAGUAAGGAAUCUUCCACAAUGGGCGAAAGCCUGAUGGAGCAACGCCGCGUGCAGGAUGAAGGCCCUCGGGUCGUAAACUGCUUUAUGAGUGAAGAAUAUGACGGUAACUCAUGAAUAAGCACCGGCUAACUAACGUGCCAGCAGCCGCGG
Molecule: ribosomal RNA, 455 nt
Filed under: uncultured bacterium
Lineage: Bacteria
Description: bacterial SSU rRNA
Rfam family: Bacterial small subunit ribosomal RNA
Source: RNAcentral